This 460-nucleotide ribosomal RNA is filed under the name uncultured bacterium. RNAcentral describes it as "partial 16S ribosomal RNA". It matches the Rfam family "Bacterial small subunit ribosomal RNA", at positions 338 to 795 of the family's 1533-position model. The record is from RNAcentral.
CCUACGGGAGGCAGCAGUGAGGAAUAUUGGUCAAUGGACGAGAGUCUGAACCAGCCAAGUAGCGUGAAGGAUGACUGCCCUAUGGGUUGUAAACUUCUUUUAUAUGGGAAUAAAACGUUCCACGUGUGGGAUUUUGUAUGUACCAUAUGAAUAAGGAUCGGCUAACGCCGUGCCAGCAGCCGCGGUAAUACGGAGGAUCCGAGCGUUAUCCGGAUUUAUUGGGUUUAAAGGGAGCGUAGGUGGAUUGUUAAGUCAGUUGUGAAAGUUUGCGGCUCAACCGUAAAAGUGCAGUUGAAACUGGCAGUCUUGAGUACAGUAGAGGUGGGCGGAAUUCGUGGUGUAGCGGUGAAAUGCUUAGAUAUCACGAAGAACUCCGAUUGCGAAGGCAGUUCACUGGACUGAGACUGACACUGAGGCGCGAAAGUGUGGGUAUCAAACAGGAUUAGAUACCCCAGUAGUC